UACGUAGGGUGCAAGCGUUGUCCGGAAUUAUUGGGCGUAAAGAGCACGUAGGCGGUUUGUCGCGUCUGCUGUGAAAACUCGGGGCUUAACCCCGGGCCUGCAGUGGGUACGGGCAGACUAGAGUGCGGUAGGGGAAACUGGAAUUCCUGGUGUAGCGGUGAAAUGCGCAGAUAUCAGGAGGAACACCGGUGGCGAAGGCGGGUCUCUGGGCCGUAACUGACGCUGAGGAGCGAAAGCGUGGGGAGCGAACAGG
RNAcentral lists this ribosomal RNA (253 nucleotides) under uncultured bacterium. Its description in RNAcentral is "partial 16S ribosomal RNA". It matches the Rfam family "Bacterial small subunit ribosomal RNA", at positions 524 to 776 of the family's 1533-position model. The record is from RNAcentral.